AGAGUUUGAUCCUGGCUCAGGACGAACGCUGGCGGCGUGCCUAAUACAUGCAAGUCGAGCGAGUCUCUUCGGAGGCUAGCGGCGGACGGGUGAGUAACACGUAGGCAACCUGCCUCUCAGACUGGGAUAACAUAGGGAAACUUAUGCUAAUACCGGAUAGGUUUUUGGAUCGCAUGAUCCGAAAAGAAAAGGCGGCUUCGGCUGUCACUGGGAGAUGGGCCUGCGGCGCAUUAGCUAGUUGGUGGGGUAACGGCCUACCAAGGCGACGAUGCGUAGCCGACCUGAGAGGGUGACCGGCCACACUGGGACUGAGACACGGCCCAGACUCCUACGGGAGGCAGCAGUAGGGAAUUUUCCACAAUGGACGAAAGUCUGAUGGA
This 380-nucleotide ribosomal RNA is filed under the name uncultured Brevibacillus sp. RNAcentral's name for it is "bacterial SSU rRNA". It matches the Rfam family "Bacterial small subunit ribosomal RNA", at positions 8 to 390 of the family's 1533-position model. Lineage: Bacteria; Bacillati; Bacillota; Bacilli; Caryophanales; Paenibacillaceae. The record is from RNAcentral.